This 387-nucleotide ribosomal RNA is filed under the name uncultured bacterium. RNAcentral describes it as "bacterial SSU rRNA". It matches the Rfam family "Bacterial small subunit ribosomal RNA", at positions 28 to 416 of the family's 1533-position model. The record is from RNAcentral.
GACGAACGCUUGCGGCGUGCUUAACACAUGCAAGUCGAGCGGUAAGGCCCUUUCGGGGGUACGACGAGCGGCGAACGGGUGAGUAACACGUGGGUGACCUGCCCUCAGCUCUGGGAUAAGCCUGGGAAACUGGGUCUAAUACUGGAUAUGACUCCACGGUGCAUGUCGUGGGGUGGAAAGCCUUGUGCGGCUGAGGAUGGGCCCGCGGCCUAUCAGCUUGUUGGGGGGUGAUGGCCUACCAAGGCGACGACGGGUAGCCGGCCUGAGAGGGCGACCGGCCACACUGGGACUGAGACACGGCCCAGACUCCUACGGGAGGCAGCAGUGGGGAAUCUUGCGCAAUGGGCGAAAGCCUGACGCAGCGACGCCGCGUGAGGGAUGACGGCU